CGGUGCUCACUGCCACCGACUCGCCCGCUCUGGUGUCCAGCGUCCUCGGCGCGACAGCAUCGGCGAAGGAGAGAUGCAGAACUGUGGCUGUAGGGGCACAGCAGCGGUUUGGGUCCGGUCAUCGGUUUGCUUGUUGGGAGGCGUGAGGAGUGGGCAGGUUUGUUGCUCACCUUGCUCGGCACCUGCAAGGCUGUUGCUUUUUUUUUUGACCUAAAGGUUCAUGGUACAUGUCUGUUCCUGCUGCCUCGUCUUCCCUCACCUGGAUUUUGGUAGCUAAGUCUACAGCCUUAAUGCUGUUUGCAAGGUUGAGAACUGUAGGGAUUUCCCAAAUAAAUUGUAUUCAUGUGUUAUACAACCGUGAUUUUCAAGCAGACAAAUUCUGCUUUAUGCCUAGCUGCAGUUUCAGGGUAGGAGUUAUGGAUGCCCAUUUCAUACAGACUGGAAUAUUUAAAAAUCCUUUGUCAAGAUAAGGUAUUUUUUAUCACAGAAUCUUAAACAUUAGAGAGGGGGGCAGGGGGGAGCCAAAAAACAUGGCUUGUUCACCCACAGCACUUGGUGAGUAUCUCCUCAUUAUCUGUCUGUCAGUGCUGCCCGUGAGUUGGCUGGCUUUUUGGCUGUUGGCUGUACAGAACCUAGCGCUGCAGGAUCCCGACCCAGCACCAGCGGAUCAGGAGGUGAUUCUUGAAUGAAUCAGUCAUAACAGUAAUUGUUUUUCAGAUAUUCCACGCACAGGGGUUCUUGCUGCUGUCCGUGGGAGGUUAUCCUGCACAUCACUAGCUUGUUGUCUAGAUUUUCCUUCUUUUUUUAAUAGUUAUUUGUUUGAUUACAGCAGUGAGUGAAGUUCCUAAGUAGUCGGGCACUAGGCAAACAGCAGAAGAUAAAUACCUUAAAGUAUAAAACCUGUACCCUUUUGGAGUUAUCCUUCCAUAAACAAGAUUAAAUAAUUCUUGUUCUUUCUUGGUAUUUUUAUAUAAAAUUCAAACACAUACAUGGUAUCAUCACCUGUUAUAGGAGUUACUGGCUAAAUGAUGUUUUCAGCUCUUCUCAUUCUAGAUCAAUCCCUUCUGUCCCCUUACCAUUUUUGCUCCUCCUCUGAACUCCCACAGUUUGUCAAUAUCUUUUAUUGUAGCCAGUGAGACACAUGAAGAAACACCCACAUCCCUUCCUUUUAAUCUUUCUCUGAGGAGAACUGACUCACCAAGUUCACUUUGUGUGUGAAAAUCUCUCUAGUAGGAAGAAUAUUUUAGGUUGUAUAGCCUGGAAAGCUUCCUGACUGUUUGUUUCAUGGGAUUAUUUUUUAAUUGUGGAAGUUAAGAGAGAAGUUAUCUCUCCUUGGCCAAGCAGUAGGAUAUUCUGCACCAGAGAACAUAUGCUAAAGGGUAGUGUUGCAAAGGCCUUACUCACUCUAAGAAAUAUUGCAGUGAGCCUGAUUGCAGAGGUGUACACAUUUUUCAAGGCUUGAGUGUUGCUCUCAUUUCAGAGGGUGCAUUUAUGCCAGGUCACUGCUACAGUGAUUUGUGCUGGUGUGAUUAUAUCGCUCCUCCCAUUGUAGGGGAGCGCGGAGCAUUUAGUGUACGUAAAUUACCGGAGGAGUCGUGCAGACCAGGAAGGCAGAGUGCAAAGGCUGUUGCAUCUGAGUGCUUUCACCAGGCCUCCUGAGGUUUUUUUUCUUGUAACCAUCACAAAGCUGUUCCGUGUCUAAUGCUAACCUUGAGGGUGUGCACCUGCUGUGCCCUUACUAAAGGGAAGGGCCAGAAUUGCUCAGCAGCACAACCAACUUCCCAGUCACAGGAAGAUGGAAAAUUUCUUAUUGCCAAUGAUUUAUUUUUUUUCUGUACCGGUGGUAUGCAGCCUUCCACGCUGCCCUGUCUCUGUCAUCAGGUGGAGUCAUAGACCCAUGAAGUAACAUCAUCCUCGUGUCCUAAUGCUGCAGCAGGAUCUGCACUUCAGCCAGUGAUGAUGUAGCAUCUUCAUAUCUCCUGCCUCAUUUCAGGCAGCUGGGAUGAGAAAGGAUAAAGCCACUAACCCAUCUAACAGGCAAGAAGACUGGGAAUACAUCAUCGGAUUCUGUGACCAGAUCAACAAAGAACUUGAAGGGCCACAGAUAGCUGUGAGACUUCUGGCUCAUAAAAUCCAGUCGCCACAGGAAUGGGAGGCAGUCCAGGCAUUGACAGUGCUGGAAGCUUGUAUGAAGAAUUGUGGGAGAAGAUUUCAUAAUGAAGUAGGGAAGUUUCGCUUUUUAAACGAGUUAAUAAAAGUUGUGUCUCCAAAGUACCUGGGAGACCGAGUCUCAGAGAAGGUGAAGACCAAAGUCAUUGAAUUGCUGUAUAGCUGGACAGUGGCAUUGCCAGAAGAGUCCAAAAUCAAGGAUGCCUACUACAUGCUGAAGCGACAAGGGAUUGUUAUGUUUGAUCCUGUGAUUCCUGCAGACAGAACCCUGAUUCCUUCUCCACCACCUCGUCCCAAAAACCCUGUGUUUGAUGAUGAGGAGAAAUCCAAGCUUCUAGCCAAACUGCUGAAAAGCAAAAACCCAGAUGAUUUACAAGAGGCCAACAAGCUUAUAAAAUCCAUGGUAAAAGAGGAUGAGGCUCGGAUUCAAAAAGUGACAAAACGCAUGCACACGCUGGAGGAAGUGAAUAACAAUGUGAAGCUGCUGAAUGAGAUGUUGGUUCAUUACAGCAAAGAGGACUCAUCAGAGGCAGAUAGGGAGCUCAUGAAGGAGCUCUAUGAAAGGUGUGAAACCAAAAGACGGACAUUAUUCAAGCUGGCCAGUGAGACAGAGGAUAAUGACAGCAGUUUGGGGGAUAUUCUGCAGGCCAGUGACAAUUUAUCCCGUGUGAUAAAUUCCUAUAAAAAAAUAAUAGAGGGGCAAGUGAUCAAUGGUGAAGUGGAUCUCCCUGUGAUGUCUGUAGUGGAAGGGAGUAACUCCACAAGUAAUCUCAACACCCUCAUUGACCUUGCUGGAUUGGACGUCACUAGCACCCCGCCGCCUCCAAUGCCACCUACCACCCUGACGCCAGCCCCCACAGUAGCCCCAGCCCCAGCAGAAAUCCCCAUUCUCCCGCCGCCUCCCCAGACGUUCGCACAGUUGCGGAGCAGUUCCUCUAGCCAAGUGGAAGCCGCACCCGCUCAGCAGACCAGCACGGCUAACUCCCUCUCCUUGCUGGAUGAGGAGCUUCUGUGCUUAGGCCUGAAUGACCCAGCUCCUGCAGCAGUGAAGGAGACCUCAGAAAACAACCAAUGGAGCAUGUUUGAGAAUGACCAGUUGGACCUGGAUUUCUUUAAUCCGAAGAUGGUGACUGUUGCUUGCAACCCUGCAGGGAAUCCUCUCUUCCAUCACACAUCACAGACCACAUGUGGAACAUCAGUGACGCUGCCCUCUGCUUUCACAGCCUCUCAGACUGCUCCCAGCAUCCCAGCACCAAACUCAGCACCAUUCAUAUUCUCUGCUGGACCGGCUGCCCCUUCGGGGCCUCCUAAGACUAUUGCAGCUGCUCCUGGGUACUUCAGCUCAUCUGUGGGGAGCAAUAUGUCACAUAAGAUGGAUGCAUUGGGACAACUCCUUGAAGAAGCCAAAGGGACUGCCACCCAAGGCAUGGCAACACCCUCGGUGUUCCCUGGGGUUACUAUGCCAACCACUGUCACCUCUGCCCCAUUAAUAGCACCUGCAGGGCUGCCAGCCACUGCCCCUGGAGCCCCUCCAAUUUCUUUCCCAAGCAGCUGCACUGCUGGCUCAGGAAGUCCUCUCUUCCAGCCGGCAUCAUUCCAGCAGCAAGGCAGUCCCAUGAAAGCACCUGAAAUUUCUUUGGCCAAUGUCCACGUUCCCUUGGAAUCCAUUAAACCCAGUGAGUAUCUCAGGCAGUGCCCUCCCGGUGACAGCCUAUGACAAGAACGGCUUCCGGAUCCUCUUGCACUUUGCCAGGGAGUGCCCGCCGGGAAGGUCAGAUGUGCUAGUUGUGGUAGUCUCAAUGCUGAACACGGCACCGCUUCCUGUGAAGAACAUUGUGCUGCAGGCUGCUGUGCCAAAGUCCAUGAAAGUGAAGUUACAGCCACCCUCUGGCACAGAGCUGUCUCCAUUCAAUCCCAUCCAGCCGCCUGCUGCCAUCACCCAAGUCAUGCUUCUGGCAAAUCCUAUGAAGGAGAAAGUGAGGCUGAGGUACAGACUGACCUUCACACUGGGAGACCAGCCCAGCACAGAGGUUGGCGAAGUGGAUCAGUUUCCCCCGGUAGAGCAGUGGGGGAAUCUAUGACCUUAGGACACUGCCAGAGACUCUGUGACAGGACCAGGAAAGGAUCCCACAGGACUGGAAUGAAUGUGACGUGGGGAGGGACACACAUGCUAUCCACUGGUGAUGUUCAGCUUUGUUUACAUGUCCUGACCACUCUGCUUGUAGCUUUAGUCCAGAAUGUUUUUGCCCCACAUUGAAGGGGUCCUGGAACAUUUAUGCCAAGCAUGAACUGAGUGGCAGCCAGUAACAGGCAGUGUUGGCUGCUUUUAUCUUGACCUCUGGGUGAAUCUGGUUCUAUCUUCCACUCUAUUAAACUUGAAGUUAUUGUAUUUUGAGGGGAGACCUGUCAGCAGAAGGAGAUUUGGUUGGCUCGUUCCUGUCCUGCUGUCCAGAGAUACCUACAGGCUGGUGGGGUAAUGAUGCCACCAUGAGCUUCCUCAGUGCAGAGCCCUUACACAUGCCCUCCCUCGGACUUUUCCCUCCUCAGUGCCAGACUGGAACCGCUAAGCAUGUUGAGCAAUAAUGCUGGCUCCAUGAGGGAAUGCUUAUUUUUUACACUGAAAUGGCACUUAGCUCCCUUCCUCCCCCUCCGCUGCUUCAUUCCCAAUGGCCAAUGUAAGCAGACCCUCACCCUGUGUUGUGUGACGCUGCUGUAUCUUUAGUUAUAUUUAUUUUAUAUUGCUAGCUGCCUCCCUGUUGUAUCCAUUUUGAGCAGCUGGGACUGAGUUUUGUACGCAAAUGGUUACACUGGUUAUUUUUCUGCCUUCAUUGCAUUCCAUAGUGUGGGGAAAAGAGGAAAUGCGUAGUGAGGAGGUGAACAGGGCUGGAAAGGAGUGGUCAGUAUUGGUGGAGGACAGCACCUGGAGCGCAGAAAUGUCUUUACAAUCACUAAUCAGGUGCCGUGACUGAAUCCAGGGAUAAGGAGAGAUGCCUCUCACGUCCCCUCAUGCAGGCAGUAUUAUUAUUGUAGUUGAAUACUGUGUUUUAUCGAGAUGAGUACAAUGACAUACAAGAUGUAAAUAAUAGAGCUAUAGGAUAUCUAAAUAGAAACAAGCAGACAGUGAAAGGAAAGAAGUCUCCACUGGGCUGUGAUGAUGCAUGUGCUGGGUUUAAUGCCGUGUUUUAUUUGUUCCCUGUAUUAAGUGGCUAAGUGCAAUUGUCCCCACAAGGGGGAAGGCAGUUUUGCUGGACAUCAGUGUUCUGUGCUAACAGGGGGCAGAAGAGCUGACCCCUCUAGCUACGGUCUCACAGAAACUAGGUUUAAAACACCAAAACUGGAUUCCAGCAGUCCCUUCCUUCUCCCUUUCGAUUUCCAAUCUCAAGCAGUGCCUCAACUAGCUUUGAGACAGACUGUUUUAAAUUAAUGGGGUUUUUUUUAACAUCCAUUGACAAAAGCACAGAUAGGGCAGGUCCUUGGACACUAAGCUCAGCAUUUCUAGCAGUGCUGUUGAGCAACAGCUGUUAUCAAACCAAGAGUGGGAGCAGUCAACUAAAGCACCAAGAAAAUCAGUACACAGGAGACACCUGCCUGUUGUAGGAAAACUCCAGAGGAGAAUGUGCUGCUGGAAUUAGUGGCGGCUGUAAAACCCAUUACUGCAAAUGCAGCUUGGAGUUAUUUGUAGUUGAAUUUUCUUUACUGUGUUGCAAAGUAAAAAUCACUAGAGGUGAAAAACUCGGUGGAUUCAAAGGCCUGAGGUCCUAAUCAGAGGCACCGGGCAGUUGUAGAAGCCCCUGAAGGUGGCAUCAAAGCUCAGCCGAGGAACUUGCUGUAAACUUCUGGUCUGAAGCUCAUGAAGACCCCAGUCUUGUCAGCUCCCUGAUGUAGAAGGCAGGUGAAAGGGAUGGGUACGUUGUUUGGAUCCUUGAACAAUGCGGUUUUAAAUCGAUGGACUAAUAAGGGACAAGGAGAGAAUUCUUUCUGCCUCAGACAUGUUCUUGCCAGCACUUUAGAGCCAGUAGGCAUAGGGGUAGUGCUUAGGUCACAGUAGUGUGUCCCGAGGAAGCAGGUUUCACUGCUUUAGAUGCCUACACGUGAAUCUCACUGUGACUUUGAGGAAGUCAGAAGAGCACAAGUGCUUUCUGCAGAAUGGCUUUGUUCUCAGUGUUAAUGGCAGCGUACUGCCUGCGCUGUACAGCCAAAUGGAAAGAUGCCAUAGUCUUGCUGUGUGGAAAUCCAUUGUUAAAAGCUUUGGAAAUUAAACUAUGAAUGUUCCUUGUCUGUAGGGUGAGGUUCCUGCUUCAUACCGAACAGCCGUAACUGUAUAUACAUCUCAAAUGCAUUUGUUCUGCUGCAUGUUAAAUAAAUUGUUUUCCCUACUUUGCUCUGUGGAUAGCCCUUACUAACGACUGCUUGUGGAGUACGGUGCUGUUUCUGGAAAUCCUAAAACCCCACCCGUCAUCUCAAAACCAUCUAAACUAAGCAAAAAUGGAGAAGUUGCUGUUUUCUAAAAGUCCAGUCGUUUACAAGGUGGGCUUAAUUUCGGUUCUGGUUAUUAGAGGCAAAGUGACUGAAAAAGCCAAGGUAGUGCCGCCAUUGGUAAUGAGGUUUACUUUACCAGGGGAGGGUUGCCAAGCCACGUUAGAACAAG
RNA transcript from Haliaeetus leucocephalus (bald eagle), 6817 nucleotides. It is a transcript of the gene named golgi-associated, gamma adaptin ear containing, ARF binding protein 3, with no coding region annotated. The record is from RefSeq and is a predicted model, not a curated record. The transcript is spliced from 17 exons. Lineage: Eukaryota; Metazoa; Chordata; Aves; Accipitriformes; Accipitridae.